Molecule: ribosomal RNA, 497 nt
Filed under: uncultured bacterium
Lineage: Bacteria
Description: partial 16S ribosomal RNA
Rfam family: Bacterial small subunit ribosomal RNA
Source: RNAcentral
GACGAACGCUGGCGGCGUGCCUAAUACAUGCAAGUUGAGCGCUGAAGGUUGGUACUUGUACCAACUGGAUGAGCAGCGAACGGGUGAGUAACGCGUGGGGAAUCUGCCUUUGAGCGGGGGACAACAUUUGGAAACGAAUGCUAAUACCGCAUAAAAACUUUAAACACAAGUUUUAAGUUUGAAAGAUGCAAUUGCAUCACUCAAAGAUGAUCCCGCGUUGUAUUAGCUAGUUGGUGAGGUAAAGGCUCACCAAGGCGAUGAUACAUAGCCGACCUGAGAGGGUGAUCGGCCACAUUGGGACGGAGGCACGGCCCAAACUCCUACGGGAGGCAGCAGUAGGGAAUCUUCGGCAAUGGACGAAAGUCUGACCGAGCAACGCCGCGUGAGUGAAGAAGGUUUUCGGAUCGUAAAACUCUGUUGGUAGAGAAGAACGUUGGUGAGAGUGGAAAGCUCAUCAAGUGACGGUAACUACCCAGAAAGGGACGGCUAACUACGUG